This 992-nucleotide small RNA is filed under the name Shewanella sp. BSw20661. Its description in RNAcentral is "bacterial LSU rRNA". The stretch from base 530 to 992 matches the Rfam family "Bacterial large subunit ribosomal RNA", at positions 1 to 514 of the family's 2925-position model. Lineage: Bacteria; Pseudomonadati; Pseudomonadota; Gammaproteobacteria; Alteromonadales; Shewanellaceae. The record is from RNAcentral.
UGCACACACCGCCCGUCACACCAUGGGAGUGGGCUGCAAAAGAAGUGGGUAGUUUAACCUUCGGGAGAACGCUCACCACUUUGUGGUUCAUGACUGGGGUGAAGUCGUAACAAGGUAGCCCUAGGGGAACCUGGGGCUGGAUCACCUCCUUACCUAUACGACUAACUCAAUACCUAAAGUGCAGAGAUGCAUGUGAGUGUUCACACAGAUUACUUGUUAACUUCUUCGGAAGUAGAGUGAAACACACCGCUUGCCGGUUAAGUGUUGUUCUUUAACAAUUUGGAAAGCUGAUAGUACUAACUAAAGGCGCAUGAAUGACGAUUCGUUGUUAUUGAUGUGAUGAUGUUAGUGCGAAAAACGUUAAUGCGAAAGCAUUAACACUUGAGUUCUCAAAACACUGUUUAAGUGUCUUGAAUAUUCUAAAAAACUAAGGCGAGUCCACUUCCUGGUCGGAGGUGAGACAAGUAAAAACCAGCUGGUCAUGAUAUGACCCAGAUGUUCACGUAAGUGAAACCUAUCUGGGUUGUAUGGUUAAGUGACCAAGCGUAUACGGUGGAUGCCUUGGCAGUCAGAGGCGAUGAAGGACGUAAUAACUUGCGAAAAGCGUUGGCGAGCUAGUAAUAAGCAUUUGAGCUAACGAUAUCCGAAUGGGGAAACCCAGCAGCAUAAGCUGUUAUCACUACAUGAAUACAUAGUGUAGUGAGGCAAACCCGGGGAACUGAAACAUCUAAGUACCCGGAGGAAAAGAAAUCAACCGAGAUUCCCCUAGUAGCGGCGAGCGAACGGGGAUUAGCCCUUAAGUCUAUGGGGUGUUAGUGGAAUGUGUUGGAAAGCACAGCGGCACAGGGUGAUAGCCCCGUACAUGAAAACUAACCAUAGAUGAAAACGAGUAAGGCGGGACACGUGACAUCCUGUUUGAAUAUGGGGGGACCAUCCUCCAAGGCUAAAUACUCCUGACUGACCGAUAGUGAACCAGUACCGUGAGGGAAAGG